AGCAGCCCCCCCACCAACACCCCCCCCCCUCCGGCUGGCAGGGACACGGAGUACGAGGACACGGAGGAUGACGACCCCUUCACCCCUCAGGCACGUAGCCCCCCGCCCCGCUCCAGCCUGCGCCUCUCGGCCCCACCCAUUUCCAACGCCCCCGUCUCACAGUACAUGAAUCAAAGCGGUUCGUUCAGUGGCAGUCCUCGAUAUGAUAGCGUGCCCCUCCUCGACCGGCACUCCCCGCCCCCCUCGGCAGCUCGCAGCUCCUCCCGACGCAGGCCGGGUUCCCUUCCAGCCUGGGACCAGUCUUUCUAGCUCAAAGCUUUUGUCUUCCGGACCAUUUUCUGGGUGUGGAGAUGGGGGAGGAGAGAGGCCAAGUGAGGACGUCCUGGUCCCUUUUUCAUACUUGCUUCCAGCUGCUAGAAAGAUCCGCACGGGUCAGGCAGCCCCCAUUGGUCGAGCAGUUCAGAAAAGAACUAGAUAAGUUGCUGGAGGAUCGGUCCCAUCAAUGGCUAUUAGCAGGCAGGGCCGGCACUUCCAUUAGGCGACCCUAGGCGGUCGCCUAGGGCGCCAGGAUUCGGGGGGUGGCAUUUUGUGCACUCCGCACGGGGCGCAUGGGAGCUUCCUGUUCCGCUCCCAUGGCGCCGCCGAAGAAGGACCUUCUGCCGACGUGCUGUGGAAAACAGCGGCAGGCAAUUG
RNAcentral lists this long non-coding RNA (693 nucleotides) under Gopherus agassizii (Agassiz's desert tortoise). RNAcentral describes it as "lncRNA (ENSGAGG00000018899.1)". Lineage: Eukaryota; Metazoa; Chordata; Testudines; Testudinidae. The record is from RNAcentral.